GAUGAACGCUAGCGGCAGGCCUAACACAUGCAAGUCGAGGAGAAGCCUUUCGGGGGCAGAAACCGGCGCACGGGUGCGUAACGCGUAUGCAACCUACCUUUCACAGGGGGAUAGCCCGAAGAAAUUUGGAUUAAUACCCCAUAAUAUUAUUGGAUGGCAUCAUUUGAUAAUUAAAACUGCGGUGGUGAAAGAUGGGCAUGCGUCCUAUUAGCUAGUUGGAGUGGUAACGGCACCCCAAGGCUACGAUAGGUAGGGGUCCUGAGAGGGAGAUCCCCCACACUGGUACUGAGACAGGGACCAGACUCCUACGGGAGGCAGCAGUGAGGAAUAUUGGUCAAUGGUCGGAAGACUGAACCAGCCAUGCCGCGUGCAGGAAGAAUGCCUUAUGGGUUGUAAACUGCUUUUAUAUGGGAAGAAUAAGGCGUACGUGUACGAUGAUGACGUACCAUAUGAA
RNAcentral lists this ribosomal RNA (454 nucleotides) under Capnocytophaga gingivalis. RNAcentral's name for it is "bacterial SSU rRNA". It matches the Rfam family "Bacterial small subunit ribosomal RNA", at positions 28 to 486 of the family's 1533-position model. The record is from RNAcentral. Lineage: Bacteria; Pseudomonadati; Bacteroidota; Flavobacteriia; Flavobacteriales; Flavobacteriaceae.